CAGCAGCCGCGGGAAUACGUAGGGUGCAAGCGUUAAUCGGAAUUACUGGGCGUAAAGCGUGCGCAGGCGGUCCGUUAAGACAGAUGUGAAAUCCCCGGGCUUAACCUGGGAACUGCAUUUGUGACUGGCGGGCUAGAGUAUGGCAGAGGGGGGUAGAAUUCCACGUGUAGCAGCGAAAUGCGUAGAGAUGUGGAGGAAUACCGAUGGCGAAGGCAGCCCCCUGGGCCAAUACUGACGCUCAUGCACGAAAGCGUGGGGAGCAAACAGGAUUAGAUACCCCUGUAGUCCCUGUCUCUUAUAC
This 301-nucleotide ribosomal RNA is filed under the name uncultured bacterium. RNAcentral's name for it is "partial 16S ribosomal RNA". It matches the Rfam family "Bacterial small subunit ribosomal RNA", at positions 509 to 807 of the family's 1533-position model. The record is from RNAcentral.